RNAcentral lists this ribosomal RNA (608 nucleotides) under Cicindela iberica. RNAcentral's name for it is "partial 16S ribosomal RNA". It matches the Rfam family "Bacterial large subunit ribosomal RNA", at positions 1850 to 2739 of the family's 2925-position model. The record is from RNAcentral. Lineage: Eukaryota; Metazoa; Arthropoda; Insecta; Coleoptera; Carabidae.
AGGUCUAACCUGCCCAAUGAGGAAUUAAAUGGCCGCAGUAUUUUGACUGUGCAAAGGUAGCAUAAUUAUUAGUUUUUUAAUUGAAAGCUUGUAUGAAGGGUUGGACGAGGUAAAAUCUGUCUUUAUUUAAAUUAUAAUAGAAUUUAACUUUUAAGUCAAAAGGCUUAAAUGUAUGUAAAAGACGAGAAGACCCUAUAGAUCUUUAUUUAAUUAAUAUUUUGAUAAUUUAGGAUUAUUUUAGUUUAAAGUUUUAGUUAAAUUUUAUUGGGGUAAUAUAAAGAUUAAAUAAAUUCUUUUUAUUUAUUACAUUGAUUUAUGAAUAUAUGAUCCAAUAUUAUUGAUUAUAAGAUUAAGUUACCUUAGGGAUAACAGCGUAAUUUUUUUGGAGAGCUCAUAUCGAUAAAAAAGUUUGCGACCUCGAUGUUGGAUUAAAAAUUAGCUUGGGUGCAGAAGCUCAAGAUUUUGGUCUGUUCGACCAUUAAAUUUUUACAUGAUCUGAGUUCAGACCGGCGUAAGCCAGGUCGGUUUCUAUCUUUAUUUAUCUAAAAUAUUUUAGUACGAAAGGACCAAAUAUUUAAUAUAAUUAUAUUUAUUUUUUGAAUAAUAUU